Long non-coding RNA from Homo sapiens (human), 3670 nucleotides. Ensembl annotates it as prostate cancer associated 3. Its record names the gene PCA3. The record is from Ensembl. NCBI's taxonomy places the organism in Eukaryota, Metazoa, Chordata, Mammalia, Primates, Hominidae.
GUGGCUUGCAGCUCUCAAAACAGUUUGGCAGCUAAGAGAGGCUGAGGCUGAAGGAGGGGAGGGAAGAAGCUGAUUUGCAGCUGUUCUGGAAGACGGAAAGUCCAAGAUCAAGAUCCUGACAUACUCGCUGUCUGAUGAGCACCUGCCUCCUGAUUCAUAGGCUGCCAUCUUUUUGCUGUGUCCUCACGUGACAGAAAAGGUGAGGUUCUCUCUGAGGUCUCUUUUAUAAGGGCAAUAAUCCCACUCAUGGGGGCUCUGGCCCCAUGACAUGAUCACCUCCCAAAGGCUCCACUUCCUAAUACUAUCAUUUUGGGGAUUUGGAUUUUAACAUAUGAAGUUUGGGGCAACACAAACAUUCAGACCGGCGAGUAGGGAGAAAAUAAAGCACUUCUUUGUACAUGACUUCAUUCUUGGGCUUCCUAGUAUUCCAGUACCUGAACAUGGCAGCAGAAGAGGUCUAAAUGGAAGCAAUUAUUGUAUUAUCUAUUGCCUCAUACAGGUUUUGAGAACCACAAGCCUUCCUACCCUCCACACUGACCCGGGAAAGGUGGGGCCACUCUAUGUGGUGCAGCAUCCUUCUUUAUGGGACAGUAUAAGAUGGUAAAUGGAGAGGCUACCCCAUUUCUGUUCGCACACAGUUCUGCUGUCAUCAACAGCAGCCAAGUUCUUUUCGUGUGUAGCUGUAUUCCUUCUUGAUGAGAUAAAACUAAGAAAUGUGCUCAAUUGUAGCCUUGCUGUAUAGAAAGCACAAGAGGCUACCUUGUACCUUCUCUUCCUUAUUUACAGGUUAGAGUCUAUUUAUUAGUAAGCUGCCAGGUUGAUGAGUCAAGGAAUUAUGAAGCUCUGGCAGUUGCUUGCCUCCAGCCCCAUCCUUUCUUGAGACAAGCACAGAUGAGCAUUCAAACCAAGCUCAAUAUUGAAUCACUGGCAGUGCUCGACUGUUCUGCUAACAUCAGUGACAGCAGAAAUUUAUAGACACCGCUGCAGGGCAGCACAUAUAGGUGUGGAGUGCAUGACCAUACAAAAAUAUUACAGGUCCCGUAUUCAGAAACUGUACCAGGAGCUAUCUACUUUAGCAACAUAGCCUCAGGUACAAAUUUACAUGCAAGAAUUCAUAUUCUACCAAAUAAAUCCCAGGCAAACAGAGUAAUGCAAAAACAUAUUUCCUGCUGUCAAGAAAAUUUCUGGCAAAAUUAAUCAACCAUUCAUCCAUUCAGGCUCUUUGCAUACCCUUUUGUCAAAGAGGGAAUACUAAGAGAUUUCUUUUCUCUUCCAUGCACUCAUUUCAAUGAAUUGAAGAAUCCAUCAAGCUUGAGUUGAUUUAUUGAACUGUCUCUUGGCUCAGCAGUACAACUACAGCAAAUGAACUGGUAACUUCUCCUAAAACCAGCAGUGAUUCAAUUCAACAAUAUCUGAUUUAUUUAACUCUUUAUAAUUCCAGAUUUAACUUAUUUUUGCAUUUCUAAGCAGAACAAUUUUUUGGAUAAAACCUUGCAUAUUUGCAUGCAUUAUUUAGUAUUCUGAAAGCAGUGAUUAAAACAUACAGAGCCUAAGACUUCUUCUUUUAAGAGACUUUAAUAGCACAUUUAAAUUAGGUAGUUUUUUAAACAACGACUUAUUUAAAUACCUACAGCUGUGUUUUAAAUGUUUCAAAGUGUUUUUUUUCUGGUGGUUAAUGUUAAUAUUAACAUUAGAUGACCAAUCACUUUGGUUUAGAGCACUAAAAACAUACAAAAUGCUUAUUUUUGUAUUUAAUCAUUCUACCAGGUAAGGAGAAUCACUGUGAGGGGAUAUUUAAGGCGUAAACAUUAGCGAGCAACCGAGCUGACUGUUUAAACACGGGUUUUUUCACUAAAUCGCGUCCACUGAGCCCCAUGGAGCCCAUUUAUCACACAACCAACUUUGCAUUUUUCUUUGUAAAGAUGUACGACCUUUGCCUAUUAGAUUUCAUUAGCAGGGCACCAUACAAGGCUCCUUUGCACAUGGCAGGAUAGAAAGCUCAACAUCCUCGCCUCGAGGAUUUGUGGGAACAAGCUCGUCUUCAAUCUUUGUCCCUGGGAGGCACUUUUAACACCUGCCAACCAUAGCACUAUCAUCAGAAAAACAUUUAGAGAUUUAUCUUCGGGCUGGUAAUUAUAAGAGAUAAUUUGUUUGGAGUAUGGAUAAAGUUGGUCUAGCAUAAACAAACUAGAGGCUCAAAUUACAUGAUGAACAUCAUUAACUAUUGAUUUAACCACUGCAGGUCUGCAGGCUCACUGACACUCUCUGAAGAUGGCGGGUUCCUAAAAAGUCAUGAGAGUUGAGGGAUGCAUUUCAGUGUAUGCUCAGAGACAUCAUGGCUUUCAUCAUCUUCCUUCUUCUUCUGAGUAACCAACUCUAGGUAACCUCUGUUUAGAAGUCUGAACAUUAAGCACAAAAGAAUUAUUUGAUACUUCUCAUGUUUUAGAAUUGAAAUUACUUUGCUUUAGGAAGAUUUUUAGAGGGAUGAAGUCAAAGGUAGCAUGUGUCAUAGAGCACAUUAACCUUUCAAAGCCCUUUGAAAGACUUUGAAAUAUAUUAUUAUCUUAUCACAGCCUCAUAAUCACCCUGUGAAGUGGGCAGAGCUGGUGUUGGAAUCCAAUUUUAUAAGAAAACUGACACGGGGAGGGAGCUAAGAGCUUAAGGGCCUCAACCAAACUACAUUACGCAUGGAUUACCUCGUAUAUUCCACUAUUCUUAUCCCAUUUUCCACAAAGAACACCAAACUGCAGAAGUAAAACAGGAUACUAAGGAGGAAGAGAAAAAUCUCAUGGACAAAUAUAUAGUAGAUGUAAAAAUAAAUGCUAGAGUGCAGGAGUAGAAUUCCUGGUUUGGAUACCAGCUGUAGCCCAUGCAGCUCUGUCAUUAAGUAGUGAUGUGGCUCGAUGUGAAAAGUGACAGCCUCAAGCUCUCGGUUUAGAGCCAUGCCUAUAAACACAGGAAGUACUCAAUAAAUGACACUAUUAAUAGUCUUUAAUGCUAUCAUGAAUGAUGAUAACAAAAAGAAUGGGGUUGGCAAGCACCACUGAGCCUUUCCCAAAUAUAAGUCUAUAUAAUCGCUUACCAGAAAUCCCUGGAACCAGGGAUAUAGUUUGUUACUGAAUUUUUUUUUUUUUAAUUUGAGAAAGGUAAAAUGGUGCUUAUAAUGUAUACUAUGAAUCAACCCAAGUGAAGCCUAGGGCAGCUCCCCUAAAGCACACAAAUAUAUAUGCAUCAAAAUAUAUAAAGAGGGAUAAAGGCCAUAAAUAUCACAUCAGAGUUUGCUGUCAGAGUUUCAAAAGCCCUAGAGUUUUCGGAACUCUUUAGAUUUCAAAAUUGUAGAUGGGGGACUACAGACCUGGAUUAAUUCUCAAUAAAAUGUUAACUAUCCACCAGGCGCGGUGGCUCAUGCCUGUAAUCCCAGCUCUUUGGGAGGCCAAGGCAGGCAGAUCACGAGGUCAGGAGUUUGAGACCAGUCUGGCCAACAUAGUGAAACCCCGUCUCUAAUAAAAAUACAAAAAAUUAGCCGGAUGUGGUGGUGUACACCUGUAAUCCCAGCUACUCGGGAGGGUGAGGCAGGAGAAUUGGGUGAACCUGGGAGGUGGAGGUUGCAGCGAGCUGACCUGGGCGACAGUAUGAUACUCUGUUUCAAAAAAAAAAACAAAGUUAACUA